GCAAGUCGAGCGGUAACAUUUCAAACGCUUGCUUUUGAAGAUGACGAGCGGCGGACGGGUGAGUAAUGCCUAGGAAAAUGCCCUGAGGUGGGGGAUAACAGUUGGAAACGAUGGCUAAUACCGCAUGAUGCCUACGGGCCAAAGAGGGGGACCUUCGGGCCUCUCGCCUCAGGAUAUGCCUAGGUGGGAUUAGCUAGUUGGUGAGGUAAUGGCUCACCAAGGCGACGAUCUCUAGCUGGUCUGAGAGGAUGAUC
RNAcentral lists this ribosomal RNA (254 nucleotides) under uncultured bacterium. Its description in RNAcentral is "partial 16S ribosomal RNA". It matches the Rfam family "Bacterial small subunit ribosomal RNA", at positions 57 to 305 of the family's 1533-position model. The record is from RNAcentral.